AAGGCUUUAGCUUAAUUAAAGUGUCUGGGUUGCAUCCAGGAGAUGUGGGAUAAAUCCCCGCAAGUCUUA
This 69-nucleotide transfer RNA is filed under the name Hyperlophus vittatus (sandy sprat). RNAcentral's name for it is "tRNA-Ala". It matches the Rfam family "tRNA". From Rfam's summary of the family: Transfer RNA (tRNA) molecules are approximately 80 nucleotides in length. Their secondary structure includes four short double-helical elements and three loops (D, anti-codon, and T loops). RNAcentral also lists the same sequence under 1 other name. Lineage: Eukaryota; Metazoa; Chordata; Actinopteri; Clupeiformes; Clupeidae. The record is from RNAcentral.